This 246-nucleotide ribosomal RNA is filed under the name Klebsiella pneumoniae. RNAcentral describes it as "partial 16S ribosomal RNA". It matches the Rfam family "Bacterial small subunit ribosomal RNA", at positions 882 to 1127 of the family's 1533-position model. Lineage: Bacteria; Pseudomonadati; Pseudomonadota; Gammaproteobacteria; Enterobacterales; Enterobacteriaceae. The record is from RNAcentral.
ACGGCCGCAAGGUUAAAACUCAAAUGAAUUGACGGGGGCCCGCACAAGCGGUGGAGCAUGUGGUUUAAUUCGAUGCAACGCGAAGAACCUUACCUGGUCUUGACAUCCACAGAACUUAGCAGAGAUGGAUUGGUGCCUUCGGGAACUGUGAGACAGGUGCUGCAUGGCUGUCGUCAGCUCGUGUUGUGAAAUGUUGGGUUAAGUCCCGCAACGAGCGCAACCCUUAUCCUUUGUUGCCAGCGGUCC